GACGAACGCUGGCGGCGUGCUUAACACAUGCAAGUCGAACGGAGUGGCGAACGGGUGAGUAACACGUGGGUGACCUGCCCUGCACUUCGGGAUAAGCCUGGGUAACUGGGUCUAAUACCGGAUAGUGUGGGAUGGGCGCGGGGCCUAUCGGCUUGUUGGGGGGGUAAUGGCCUACCAAGGCGGCGACGGGUAGCCGGCCUGGGAGGGUGGACGGCCACAUUGGGACUGCGAGACGGCGCAGACUGCAACGGGGGGCAGCGGGGGGGAAUAUGGCACAAUGGGCGGAAGCCUAGUGCAGCGACGCCGCGUGGGGGAUGACGGCUUUCGGGUUGUAAACGCCUUUCACCAUCGACGCGGUAGAUGGAGAAGAAGCACCGGCUAACUACGUGCCAGCCGCCGCGGUAAUUC
Molecule: ribosomal RNA, 408 nt
Filed under: uncultured bacterium
Lineage: Bacteria
Description: partial 16S ribosomal RNA
Rfam family: Bacterial small subunit ribosomal RNA
Source: RNAcentral